This 253-nucleotide ribosomal RNA is filed under the name uncultured bacterium. RNAcentral describes it as "partial 16S ribosomal RNA". It matches the Rfam family "Bacterial small subunit ribosomal RNA", at positions 524 to 776 of the family's 1533-position model. The record is from RNAcentral.
UACGUAGGGAGCAAGCGUUGUUCGGAUUUACUGGGCGUAAAGGGCGCGUAGGCGGCGCGGUAAGUCACUUGUGAAAUCUCUGAGCUUAACUCAGAACGGCCAAGUGAUACUGCAGUGCUAGAGUGCAGAAGGGGCAAUCGGAAUUCUUGGUGUAGCGGUGAAAUGCGCAGAUAUCAGGAGGAACACCUAUGGCGAAGGCAGCUCGCUGGGACGGUACUGACGCUGAGACGCGAAAGCGUGGGGAGCGAACAGG